Molecule: ribosomal RNA, 584 nt
Filed under: uncultured bacterium
Lineage: Bacteria
Description: bacterial SSU rRNA
Rfam family: Bacterial small subunit ribosomal RNA
Source: RNAcentral
CUACGGGAGGCAGCAGUGGGGAAUUUUGGACAAUGGGGGCAACCCUGAUCCAGCCAUGCCGCGUGUAUGAAGAAGGCCUUAGGGUUGUAAAGUACUUUUGUUAGGGAAGAAAAGUCAGCUGUGAAUAAUGGCUGAUACUGACGGUACCUAAAGAAUAAGCACCGGCUAACUACGUGCCAGCAGCCGCGGUAAUACGUAGGGUGCGAGCGUUAAUCGGAAUUAUUGGGCGUAAAGCGAGUGUAGACGGUUAUUUAAGCCAGAUGUGAAAUACCCGAGCCUAACUUGGGAGGUGCAUAUGGAACUGGGUAGCUAGAGUGUGUCAGAGGGAGGUAGAACUCCACGUGUAGCAGUGAAAUGCGUAGAGAUGUGGAAGAAUACCGAUGGCGAAGGCAGCCUCCUGGGAUAACACUGACGUUGAGGCUCGAAAGCGUGGGGAGCAAACAGGAUUAGAUACCCUGGUAGUCCACGCCCUAAACGAUGACAAUUAGCUGUUGGCCCCAUUAAGGGGUGAGUAGCGAAGCUAACGCGUGAAAUUGUCCGCCUGGGGAGUACGGUCGCAAGAUUAAAACUCAAAGGAAUUGACG